UCGAGGGGUAUAGUUCUUCGGAGCUAGAGACCGGCGCACGGGUGCGUAACGCGUAUGCAAUCUGCCUUUCACAGAGGGAUAGCCCAGAGAAAUUUGGAUUAAUACCUCAUAGUAUUAUGGAAGGGCAUCCUUUUAUAAUUAAAGUCACAACGGUGAAAGAUGAGCAUGCGUCCCAUUAGCUAGUUGGUAAGGUAACGGCUUACCAAGGCAACGAUGGGUAGGGGUCCUGAGAGGGAGAUCCCCCACACUGGUACUGAGACACGGACCAGACUCCUACGGGAGGCAGCAGUGAGGAAUAUUGGUCAAUGGGCGCAAGCCUGAACCAGCCAUGCCGCGUGCAGGAUGACGGUCCUAUGGAUUGUAAACUGCUUUUGUACGAGAAGAAACACUGAUUCGUGAAUCAGCUUGACGGUAUCGUAAGAAUAAGGAUCGGCUAACUCCGUGCCAGCAGCCGCGGUAAUACGGAGGAUCCAAGCGUUAUCCGGAAUCAUUGGGUUUAAAGGGUCCGUAGGCGGUUUAGUAAGUCAGUGGUGAAAGCCCAUCGCUCAACGGUGGAACGGCCAUUGAUACUGCUGAACUUGAAUUAUUAGGAAGUAACUAGAAUAUGUAGUGUAGCGGUGAAAUGCUUAGAUAUUACAUGGAAUACCAAUUGCGAAGGCAGGUUACUACUAAUGGAUUGACGCUGAUGGA
This 690-nucleotide ribosomal RNA is filed under the name uncultured Bacteroidota bacterium. RNAcentral's name for it is "bacterial SSU rRNA". It matches the Rfam family "Bacterial small subunit ribosomal RNA", at positions 62 to 753 of the family's 1533-position model. Lineage: Bacteria; Pseudomonadati; Bacteroidota. The record is from RNAcentral.